CCCUUGUCCCCCAACCGCGGAAAUCCUCUCCACCUCAGCUCUUCGUCUUUCCCCCAAUUUCCUUCGAAAACGAGAGAAAAUCGUCGAAAAUCUGACAAUAUUGUCAGAUCUGCGGUUUAAUUGGCGAAAACUCGUUGAGGGCUAGGGUUACCACCGCUUUCCCUCGUUUUUUUACUCUUCGCACCAUGAUUGCUCUCAGAUGCUUGCGGGAGUUUUAUAAUGUUGAUUUCGUACUUGAUUUUUAUAUUUAUCAAGCCUCGGUUCCUCAAAAUCUUUCUUUUGCUCGAUCUUUGCGAAAAAGGCAACGCCUUUAUUGGGAAAUUUGGGUAUUUUUGCUGAGUUUUUGGCUGGAUCUUGCUAUAGAGGCAAUCUAAGAUUUCAUAAGAAUUUUUCGCUAAUUCAGUGGUUGUUGUGCAUAACUUACAAGUGAGGAUGUUACGCAUCUCUUUCUAGAGUGUCUAUACGUGUGUGGUGUUCGGAGUCGUGCAUUCGCACAGUUGAUGGUUGGACGUUGAUGAAAGCCGAAGACAAAGCGCUCUUUAUAGAGUAAACAUGAAUUACGUAUCGCUUCUGGGUGUAUUACUUUUGUGAGGCAAGAGAUGAAUAGGGAUUGUU
Asparagus officinalis (garden asparagus) is the source of this 615-nucleotide long non-coding RNA. RefSeq lists it as uncharacterized. The record is from RefSeq and is a predicted model, not a curated record. Lineage: Eukaryota; Viridiplantae; Streptophyta; Magnoliopsida; Asparagales; Asparagaceae. The transcript is spliced from 3 exons.